UAAGGUAGCGAAAUUCCUUGUCGGGUAAGUUCCGACCUGCACGAAUGGCGUAACGACUUCCCCGCUGUCUCAAAUGUGGACUCAGCGAAAUUGAAUUGUCUGUGAAGAUGCAGACUUCCCGCGGUUAGACGGAAAGACCCCAUGCACCUUUACUACAACUUCGCACUGGCAUCAGGAUUGCGAUGUGCAGGAUAGGCGGUAGGCUUUGAAGCGGGGACGCCAGUUCCCGUGGAGCCAUCCUUGAGAUACCGCCCUUCGCACUCUUGAUGUCUAACCGCGGCCCGUUAUCCGGGUCCGGGACCCUGCGUGGUGGGUAGUUUGACUGGGGCGGUCGCCUCCCAAACAGUAACGGAGGCGCGCGAAGGUUGGCUCAGAGCGGUCGGAAAUCGCUCGUUGAGUGCAAUGGCAGAAGCCAGCCUGACUGCAAGACUGACAAGUCGAGCAGAGUCGAAAGACGGCCAUAGUGAUCCGGUGGUCCCGAGUGGAAGGGCCAUCGCUCAACGGAUAAAAGGUACGCUGGGGAUAACAGGCUGAUGAUGCCCAAGAGUCCAUAUCGACGGCAGUGUUUGGCACCUCGAUGUCGGCUCAUCUCAUCCUGGGGCUGGAGCAGGUCCCAAGGGUAUGGCUGUUCGCCAUUUAAAGAGGUACGCGAGCUGGGUUUAGAACGUCGUGAGACAGUUCGGUCCCUAUCUACCGUGGGCGUUGGAAAUUUGAGAGGAUCUGCUCCUAGUACGAGAGGACCAGAGUGGACGAACCUCUGGUGUACCGGUUGUGACGCCAGUCGCAUCGCCGGGUAGCUAUGUUCGGAAUAGAUAACCGCUGAAAGCAUCUAAGCGGGAAGCCCACCUCAAGAUGAGAUAUCACGGAUCUUAAGAUCCCUAAAGAGCCCUUGUAGACAACAAGGUUGAUAGGCGCGAUGUGGAAG
RNAcentral lists this ribosomal RNA (925 nucleotides) under uncultured Isochrysis. RNAcentral describes it as "partial Bacterial large subunit ribosomal RNA". It matches the Rfam family "Bacterial large subunit ribosomal RNA", at positions 1952 to 2873 of the family's 2925-position model. Lineage: Eukaryota; Haptophyta; Isochrysidales. The record is from RNAcentral.